RNAcentral lists this ribosomal RNA (756 nucleotides) under Aerococcus sp. Z29-SB-E14. RNAcentral's name for it is "bacterial SSU rRNA". It matches the Rfam family "Bacterial small subunit ribosomal RNA", at positions 56 to 794 of the family's 1533-position model. Lineage: Bacteria; Bacillati; Bacillota; Bacilli; Lactobacillales; Aerococcaceae. The record is from RNAcentral.
UGCAAGUCGAGCGAACAGAUGAAGUGCUUGCACUUCUGACGUUAGCGGCGAACGGGUGAGUAACACGUAAGGAAUCUACCUAUAAGCGGGGGAUAACAUUCGGAAACGGGUGCUAAUACCGCAUAAUAUCUUCUUCCGCAUGGAAGAAGAUUGAAAGACGGCUCUGCUGUCACUUAUAGAUGACCUUGCGGUGCAUUAGUUAGUUGGUGGGGUAAUGGCCUACCAAGACGAUGAUGCAUAGCCGACCUGAGAGGGUGAUCGGCCACAUUGGGACUGAGACACGGCCCAAACUCCUACGGGAGGCAGCAGUAGGGAAUCUUCCGCAAUGGGCGAAAGCCUGACGGAGCAAUGCCGCGUGAGUGAAGAAGGCCUUCGGGUCGUAAAACUCUGUUAUAAGAGAAGAACAAAUUGUAGAGUAACUGCUACAGUCUUGACGGUAUCUUAUCAGAAAGCCACGGCUAACUACGUGCCAGCAGCCGCGGUAAUACGUAGGUGGCAAGCGUUGUCCGGAUUUAUUGGGCGUAAAGGGAGCGCAGGUGGUUUCUUAAGUCUGAUGUGAAAGCCCACGGCUUAACCGUGGAGGGUCAUUGGAAACUGGGAAACUUGAGUACAGAAGAGGAAUGUGGAACUCCAUGUGUAGCGGUGGAAUGCGUAGAUAUAUGGAAGAACACCAGUGGCGAAGGCGACAUUCUGGUCUGUUACUGACACUGAGGCUCGAAAGCGUGGGGAGCAAACAGGAUUAGAUACCCUGGUAGU